Long non-coding RNA from Ictidomys tridecemlineatus (thirteen-lined ground squirrel), 869 nucleotides. RefSeq lists it as uncharacterized. NCBI's taxonomy places the organism in Eukaryota, Metazoa, Chordata, Mammalia, Rodentia, Sciuridae. The record is from RefSeq and is a predicted model, not a curated record.
UCCGCCGCCGCCGCCGCCGCGAACCAACAGCAGCAGAACUAACAGCCGUCCUCGCCUACGACAGCAGCAGGGGCAGUAGCCACCCAGGCCGCCAAGGACCCCGCGCUAGAAGGCAAGGCCCCGCCGCCGGCUGCCCGCGGAGAACGCCUGACUGCGCGCCUCCAGCGCCUCACGGCUGCCGCCAGGGGGAGCCGCGACUGCCCGGGAAAAUGCCCCUCCCAGACUCCUCCUCCACACCGAGACGAAUCCCUGAACCGCGAUGCGCACCGACUCCGCGCCCACGUACAGCGCGCGCACGGGAACACUGCCGGGCGCGCUCACUCGGAGGCGACAGGUGCGCGCGCACCUGCGCGGCCGUUCCGUACUUGCAUCCCUAGAGCGCGCGCUGAGUGUUCGACGACCUGCGCUGCGUGAGGCCCUCGGCCCCCGGGGCCCUCCCUGGGCGACGGUGGGGCUCCGCAGCGUUUGCCAUCGACUGGAAUCGCCUGCCCGUCCACGUCGGACCCACUUCUAAGACGGAUCCACUUCUAGCCAAAGAGUGGAAAAAGACCAAGUUCGGUGGAAUACACUUUUGACACCAUAUUUGUUAAUGGGUUUGACCUUAUGGCAGCUGUAGGUUAAUGGAGACAAUGGGAUUAAUACGAGAACAAGGCGAAAGCGUCUAAACACGUUAACAAACUAUCAUAAAAUAUUUGGGUUUUCCCGCCCCUUUCCUUAGAGGAUAACUUUUUCUAUCCCGGUCCCUACUCCCAGCCAAAUGGCAAAGGACUAGAAAUGGUUCCAAAUUGUAAAUGGGAAACCUGCUCUGACAGAAACCUCAAACUGUACUAAUUAAAAUACUUUUGGACAACUCCAAUUUUUAAAAUCGC